This 550-nucleotide ribosomal RNA is filed under the name uncultured bacterium. RNAcentral describes it as "bacterial SSU rRNA". It matches the Rfam family "Bacterial small subunit ribosomal RNA", at positions 355 to 896 of the family's 1533-position model. The record is from RNAcentral.
UAGGGAAUCUUCGGCAAUGGACGGAAGUCUGACCGAGCAACGCCGCGUGAGUGAAGAAGGUUUUCGGAUCGUAAAGCUCUGUUGUAAGAGAAGAACGAGUGUGAGAGUGGAAAGUUCACACUGUGACGGUAUCUUACCAGAAAGGGACGGCUAACUACGUGCCAGCAGCCGCGGUAAUACGUAGGUCCCGAGCGUUGUCCGGAUUUAUUGGGCGUAAAGCGAGCGCAGGCGGUUAGAUAAGUCUGAAGUUAAAGGCUGUGGCUUAACCAUAGUAGGCUUUGGAAACUGUUUAACUUGAGUGCAAGAGGGGAGAGUGGAAUUCCACGUGUAGCGGUGAAAUGCGUAGAUAUAUGGAGGAACACCGGUGGUGAAAGCGGCUCUCUGGCUUGUAACUGACGCUGAGGCUCGAAAGCGUGGGGAGCAAACAGGAUUAGAUACCCUGGUAGUCCACGCUGUAAACGAUGAGUGCUAGGUGUUAGACCCUUUCCGGGGUUUAGUGCCGUAGCUAACGCAUUAAGCACUCCGCCUGGGGAGUACGACCGCAAGGUUG